AACGAACGCUGGCGGCAGGCCUAACACAUGCAAGUCGAACGCCCUAGCAAUAGGGAGUGGCAGACGGGUGAGUAACACGUGGGAACGUGCCUUUCGGUUCGGAAUAACCCAGGGAAACUUGGACUAAUACCGGAUACGUGCGAGAGCAGAAAGAUUUAUCGCCGAAAGAUCGGCCCGCGUCCGAUUAGUUAGUUGGUGAGGUAAUGGCUCACCAAGGCGACGAUCGGUAGCUGGUCUGAGAGGAUGAUCAGCCACACUGGGACUGAGACACGGCCCAGACUCCUACGGGAGGCAGCAGUGGGGAAUAUUGGACAAUGGGCGCAAGCCUGAUCCAGCCAUGCCGCGUGAGUGAUGAAGGCCCUAGGGUUGUAAAGCUCUUUCGCCAGGGACGAUAAUGACGGUACCUGGAUAAGAAGCCCCGGCUAACUUCGUGCCAGCCGCCGCUGUAAC
This 450-nucleotide ribosomal RNA is filed under the name uncultured bacterium. RNAcentral describes it as "bacterial SSU rRNA". It matches the Rfam family "Bacterial small subunit ribosomal RNA", at positions 29 to 524 of the family's 1533-position model. The record is from RNAcentral.